This 124-nucleotide unclassified non-coding RNA is filed under the name Entrophospora infrequens. RNAcentral describes it as "ITS1". The record is from RNAcentral. Lineage: Eukaryota; Fungi; Glomeromycota; Glomeromycetes; Entrophosporales; Entrophosporaceae.
CAGUGUUAGGCUUCGGCCUCAUUCACACCCCUUGUUGAACCUCUGGUUUCUUUGGCGAUGUCAUGGACUCGUCAAACUUUAACUCUGGGAAUGCGAUACUGUCCGAGUGCCAUUGAAUGAUUAA